This 465-nucleotide ribosomal RNA is filed under the name uncultured Polaromonas sp. RNAcentral's name for it is "bacterial SSU rRNA". It matches the Rfam family "Bacterial small subunit ribosomal RNA", at positions 916 to 1381 of the family's 1533-position model. The record is from RNAcentral. Lineage: Bacteria; Pseudomonadati; Pseudomonadota; Betaproteobacteria; Burkholderiales; Comamonadaceae.
GACGGGGCCCGCACAAGCGGUGGAGUAUGUGGUUAAUUCGAUGCAACGCGAAAACCUUACCUGCCCUUGACAUCCUCGGAACUUGUCAGAGAUGACUUGGUGCCUUCGGGAACCGAGAGACAGGUGCUGCAUGGCUGUCGUCAGCUCGUGUCGUGAGAUGUUGGGUUAAGUCCCGUAACGAGCGCAACCCUUGUCAUUAGUUGCUACAUUCAGUUGGGCACUCUAAUGAGACUGCCGGUGACAAACCGGAGGAAGGUGGGGAUGACGUCAAGUCCUCAUGGCCCUUAUAGGUGGGGCUACACACGUCAUACAAUGGAUGGUACAAAGGGUCGCCAACCCGCGAGGGGGAGCCAAUCCCAUAAAGCCAUUCGUAGUCCGGAUCGCAGUCUGCAACUCGACUGCGUGAAGUCGGAAUCGCUAGUAAUCGUGGAUCAGAAUGUCACGGUGAAUACGUUCCCGGGUCUU